UCUUAGAUGACUGAGGUAUAAGUGCUAGACUUUUAAUCUAGUUACGGCUAAUACGUAGCCUCUAAGAG
This 68-nucleotide transfer RNA is filed under the name Naria helvola. RNAcentral's name for it is "tRNA-Lys". The record is from RNAcentral. Lineage: Eukaryota; Metazoa; Mollusca; Gastropoda; Littorinimorpha; Cypraeidae.